GUUCAUUGGUAACUAUGACGUUUUCGUGAAUAGGGCUGGAUACUGAAAACCACAACCCUUUAAAUAAGGCCUGUGAAAUUUAGUGGCUGAAGUGAAGCAUAUUGAUCGUUCUUUCUGUCGUCGAUGGCUUCACCAUUUAGGUUCAGUUUGUUGUAAAACAAAUUAUUUUAACAUCAAUGACUGUGUCAAACCAUUCCAGAA
Molecule: long non-coding RNA, 201 nt
Filed under: Mytilus galloprovincialis (Mediterranean mussel)
Lineage: Eukaryota; Metazoa; Mollusca; Bivalvia; Mytilida; Mytilidae
Source: RNAcentral